This 95-nucleotide transfer RNA is filed under the name Amycolatopsis deserti. Its description in RNAcentral is "tRNA-Ser". Lineage: Bacteria; Bacillati; Actinomycetota; Actinomycetes; Pseudonocardiales; Pseudonocardiaceae. The record is from RNAcentral.
GCCCAGGCGGCGCGGGCGCUGGCCCGGCUGCGGUUGCUGACCGCGGGGCGGGCGUUGCGGGUGGACCACAUCGGCUCGACGUCGGUGCCCGGGCU